GAUAUUAUAGCUAAAUGAUAGAGCAUUUGCUUAACAUGCAUGGGGCCCUGGGUUUGAUCCCCAGUACUGCCG
This 72-nucleotide transfer RNA is filed under the name Ictidomys tridecemlineatus (thirteen-lined ground squirrel). Its description in RNAcentral is "Spermophilus tridecemlineatus (thirteen-lined ground squirrel) tRNA". It matches the Rfam family "tRNA". Rfam says of the family: Transfer RNA (tRNA) molecules are approximately 80 nucleotides in length. Lineage: Eukaryota; Metazoa; Chordata; Mammalia; Rodentia; Sciuridae. The record is from Rfam by way of RNAcentral.